GACACUGGCAAGAAUUGUAAGUGAUGUGAACAUGACAUAAUAAAUGGGCGAAACAACUGCAGUGUUGAACGUAUCAAGUGCCUUGUUGAGAUAAUUCAUUUGAGUGAUGACACUUGUAGCAACGACAAACAUAAAAAACCAUGUCUCCGGAUAGAGUAAUUGGUUGUUUCCUUCAAAUGUUAAUUUUAGUGCAGUUCCAACGGCUUUAACACUCAUCACCGAAAGAGAGCCCAUCAACGAGCAAAUGCCCGUGAAAACUAGGACAUUUGAGUGCCCACACUGUGGCGAAAAAUGGAAGGCCAGAAUAAAAACAAGCACAAUCACUGAGGCCACGUAAAGCAAAAAAGCUGAUUGAGUUGCCAUAGUCCAUAUUUCCUGAACAGAAGUUAUAGGGUGCUCCUGUGGUGCAUGAAUCACAAUUAUAAUAGAACCAGCAAUGCACAUCACACAACCCAGGAUCCCUAGUUUCUGUAACUUCUCAUUCAAGAUAAAGUGCGCUAACACAGCACUAAUAAUAAUACUUAAUGCACCAAGUGGGG
This 539-nucleotide unclassified non-coding RNA is filed under the name Hevea brasiliensis (rubber tree). The record is from RNAcentral. Lineage: Eukaryota; Viridiplantae; Streptophyta; Magnoliopsida; Malpighiales; Euphorbiaceae.